This 76-nucleotide transfer RNA is filed under the name Candidatus Dependentiae bacterium ADurb.Bin331. RNAcentral's name for it is "tRNA-Thr". It matches the Rfam family "tRNA". From Rfam's summary of the family: Transfer RNA (tRNA) molecules are approximately 80 nucleotides in length. Their secondary structure includes four short double-helical elements and three loops (D, anti-codon, and T loops). The record is from RNAcentral.
GCCGAUGUAGCUCAGUUGGUAGAGCAACUGAUUCGUAAUCAGUAGGUCGUCGGUUCGAGUCCGAUCAUCGGCUCCA